This 1862-nucleotide long non-coding RNA is filed under the name Scophthalmus maximus (turbot). Its description in RNAcentral is "lncRNA (ENSSMAG00000031253.1)". Lineage: Eukaryota; Metazoa; Chordata; Actinopteri; Pleuronectiformes; Scophthalmidae. The record is from RNAcentral.
ACUUUCUACAGUGGUUCACUUGCCAGCAUUGUUUUAUUCUAAUAGUGCUAUAACGUUCUCUUUAUUGAAAACAUGAUCCACGUUGGUGAGUGAUCCGCCAAACCUGGUUUAACAGUAAUGGCAAUGCAGCAAGAAGAAAAGCGAACAAUAUUUCAUUGGUCAAUGUCUUACCUGUCAUUCUGUUGGUUAGGGAUUUUGACAUUUGACAGGGUUUUUUCACAACAAUUUCAACAGCCAGAGGAGAAAUCUGAGAGCUGAAGUUUGGCAAGCAUCCGGGCGUAGCCUGGACACGAGAAGAAGGAGUCAAACUGCAGCACAGGACAUUCGCAUCAACGGAAUAUAUGAGAGCAGACAAACUGCUUUGAGCAGGAGCAGAGCAAAUUAGCACGUGAGCCCUGUCCAUUUGAGCGAGUGGGCAGGGUUUUGAGGGAAAGCAUUUCAAAGGCUGAAGGUGAAUUGCAGUAAUCCUGCUUUUCAAAACGAAAGGCCACGCUCUUGGAUAAAGAUGGGAAAGAAACUCUUGGACAAAAGAACUUGCCACCUCCCACUCGCUCCUGGCUCUGUUUGGCAGAUGGAUCGCUGAUCGCAGGAAUGAGCAUCGACUGGACUUGAGCCGGAUGUUUGGGAAUGCUGGAAGGCCUUGUUAUUCAUCCCUCUGCACUGAGCAAGGAAAAAAGUUACGGAAAAAUCCACUGUCAGCCCAGCACCUGCCCAGCACCAGAUUGCGGACAGACAAAGGGACGAGCUACCGAUGAAGGUCAAAUGUCAAGAGCAACAAUUUUUUUCUCAGGAGUUUUUCUCAGAAAGCUAGGGAACAUUGGACUAAAAGGAAUAGUUGGUGGUUGGUAAAUACACAAUUUGCCUUUUUUGCCAAAAGUUAGAUGAAAAGAUUGUUACCACUCUCAUGUAUGGUAAAUAUGGAGAUACCGUUAGUGUAGCACAAACUUUUGCUGGCCUGACAGAGACAAAUCUGCCUGCUAGCACCAAUGAAGCUCAGUCGCUCAAUAAUAUGUUAAGUUGUUUGCAUAGUCGAUACAAAGACCAAGUGCAAAAAACAACAAAUGUUGUUCCUCAGCCAGCAUCUUGGUUGGGAGAAGUAACUUCCUGUUGUCGUGUUCACUGACUUGAGAGCAAUAGUGAUCUUCCCAAACUCUUAGCCACAAAGUAAAUAAGUGUAUUUCCCAAAUUGUCAUACAAUUCCUCUGACAUUCUUCAAGAAAGAAACCAGAAACACAUGCUCAAUGUCUGCUGGCUGUAUGAAUAUUACUAUGUUUGCCGAUGUUGCAUUUACUUGUCCUUCUUCUUCCAAGUUACAAAUGAAAAACCAAUGAAAGCAGCUUCAAAAGAAGUCAUUUAAUAUUAUUUUAAAUCAUCAUAUUACCAAUGAUGGACCCUAUACCUGAAAUGGUUUUUAUCCCUGUCUUGGUACAACUGCUUCCAAUGAAAGUUCUCCUCUUUCUCUUUACUUUCUCCUUUUUGACCACCCCUCCUUUUUUCCACAUCUUUAUAUUUUUCUGGUUUUCUUAGCCAUGCCCCUCAUUGCUCCUCCACCCAUUGCCCCUGCACAGCUCUUAAAGUCCUUUUGAACCUCCUCCAGCAUAUUCUUUUUCUGUUCUAAGCGAGAAACAUUUCCCGUCUCUCCUUUGAUACAACUUCUCCAGCUACUCAACAUAUUUUAUCAUCAAAGUCUUCAAAUGGACCUCCCUCUAACCAUCAUUCUCUCUUUGGUUUCUAUCAUGUCUUUCUGCUCCCUCACAUUUUCUUUUUCUUUUCAUUUUACCCCAACCCUUCCUGCCCCCAGUUGCGUGAGACGAAGAGAGGUAUAGUCUUUCGUCAAGCCUGCACAAGUGGAGGGAGGCGGG